AAUGGGACCAACAGAAAUGUUACAGAGCUCCAAGAACUGCGGAGACACAACUCUUUUACAUCUCAGCCUCCACAAAGAGGCAGACAAGAUAAGCAAGGUUACAAGAGAAAAACAAGCAGGCUAGCUAGCAUAAUGAAAGAAAAUUGAAGAGGCCUAUGAGCCAGUAAUGUAGGGCUCAGUAGGCUGUCCGUCUCAGCUUGCCAGAGAAAAAUUGGUGCCUGAAGGGUUACUUACUUACUUGAACGGUUGAACCUUUGAUCAAACGACUGAUUUUGUUAUUAUAUACAUGCCACGUGUUCCAACUAUUAGAUCACCAUAUGAGAAAGGAAAAGUAAGGUACUAUGUAGAAACUUUGGAUCGGAUUAAUACAUAUAGAAGAAGAGCAAUAAAGCUGAGCACAAGAGGACUCAAAUUUGGUGGCAGAGGUUUUUCACAAGCAGAAAAUAAAGGAUACCUGCAAUAUCUUAACAGUCUGUUGGCAAUCCCCUCCUUUAAUUUGAAGCAAUAAAAUAACUAAACUGGUGUCUAAUUACUGAAAGUUACUCGAAGAAAAACUCAAAGAAUUUACUACAAAAAGGUGUUCGAAGAUCUGAAAUUUUCAUAAUAGUGGUUAUGAUCUCUAAAAUGUAAAAUAAAUUGGAAGGAUAUAUGGUGUGUGUUAGUUUCAGAACAUAGAGGCGAAAAUAAAAUGGAAGGACACAUGUUAAGUAGUACUUUUUUCUUACCUCAGUUGCUCCAGAAAUGUAAAUCCCUUGUGUUUUACCCUCCUUGAUCUAGAUUGUCCUUGGAGGUCAGACAAGUCAGGAAGGUCCCUUAGACAUCAGAAGAAUAAAUCGAAGCAUUAAAAAUUUUCUCAACAAAGGUACAUACCUUACUUUGUUCCCAAAUACAUCUCCACCUGAAAAUUGUAAUAAAAAAAUGCGAGCAAAGAUUUUAGCAAUGUGAGUUCAAAUUC
This 955-nucleotide long non-coding RNA is filed under the name Oryza brachyantha (malo sina). RNAcentral's name for it is "long non-coding RNA (OBRA_LNC001588)". Lineage: Eukaryota; Viridiplantae; Streptophyta; Magnoliopsida; Poales; Poaceae. The record is from RNAcentral.